GGGCUACACACGUGCUACAAUGGGCAGUACAAAGGGUAGCAAGCCUGCGAAGGUGAGCCAAUCUCAAAAAGCUGUUCGUAGUUCGGAUUGGAGUCUGCAACUCGACUCCAUGAAGCUGGAAUCGCUAGUAAUCGCGGAUCAGCAUGCCGCGGUCGAAUACGUUCCCGGGCCUU
Molecule: ribosomal RNA, 173 nt
Filed under: uncultured Desulfobacterium sp.
Lineage: Bacteria; Pseudomonadati; Thermodesulfobacteriota; Desulfobacteria; Desulfobacterales; Desulfobacteriaceae
Description: partial 16S ribosomal RNA
Rfam family: Bacterial small subunit ribosomal RNA
Source: RNAcentral